CCUACGGGAGGCAGCAGUGAGGAAUAUUGGUCAAUGCACGAGAGUCUGAACCAGCCAAGUAGCGUGAAGGAUGACUGCCCUAUGGGUGGUAAACUUCUUUUAUAAAGGAAUAAAACGCGGCACGUGUGCCUUUUUGCAUGUACUUUAUGAAUAAGGAUCGGCUAACUCCGUGCCAGCAGCCGCGGUAAUACGGAGGAUCCGAGCGUUAUCCGGAUUUAUUGGGUUUAAAGGGAGCGUAGAUGGGUUUGUAAGUCAGUUGUGAAAGUUUGAGGCUCAACCGUAAAAUGGCAAUUGAUACUGGCAGUCUUGAGUACAGAUGAGGUAGGCGGAAUUCGUGGUGUAGCGGUGAAAUGCGUAGAUAUCACGAAGAACCCCGAUUGCGAAGGCAGCUUACUAAACUGUGACUGACAUUGAUGUUCGAAAGUGUGGGUAUCAAACAGGAUUAGAUACCCGAGUAGUC
Molecule: ribosomal RNA, 460 nt
Filed under: uncultured bacterium
Lineage: Bacteria
Description: partial 16S ribosomal RNA
Rfam family: Bacterial small subunit ribosomal RNA
Source: RNAcentral